This is a long non-coding RNA of Electrophorus electricus (electric eel), 754 nucleotides long. The record is from Ensembl. Lineage: Eukaryota; Metazoa; Chordata; Actinopteri; Gymnotiformes; Gymnotidae.
CUUACUCCUGAUGUCAUCUUGUUACUGAACGUCAACCUGUCUCAGGUGCUGUGGCUCAUCCCACCAUUCUUGUGCAAGAUGGGCUUUGAACACACAUGCACUCAUUGAACCCAGACUAAGGGAUCUACAUAACUGGAAUAAACAUUCAUUGCAUUUUUUUUUUUUUUUUUGCUUUUUUUUUUUACAUUUUAUUAUUUAUUUUUCCACAAAUUGUUGCUAUUGUGGUGUCCAUUGUUCGGCCAGAGGAGGAUGAGCCCCCCCCUUUUGAGUCUUGGUUCCUCUCAAGGUGAGGAUGUCGGCGUUAAUGGUGUGGCUGCAGGUAUUUUCUGUGCCACAGAGAGUGCGCUAUACCGUGUUCUCUCUCCUGGUAUGUGUGCUCCAGCUGGCUCUGCUCGUCUCUGACGCCAUUAUGGACUUCUUCAUUCAUGAAUUCCCCCCCUGGAGAACCCACAUACAUUUCAUAUUGGUGCUACAGGUGGUGAGCUUCUACUGGUCUGUGCUGGGCUCAGUGUAUGCGCUGCUGGUACAGGACAACAAAGCAGCCUACAUCGCACUGCUGUCUGUCUCACUGAACUUGGGCUCCUUCAUCUCCCGGUUCUGCUAUGAGAUCAUGAGGAUGAGAAGGAGAUGAGUUCUAGAAGAUUUUCUCCGUUUACCCCCACUGGAUUACAGAUUAUUUCCUUGUCUCCCGACUACUCAACCUUGGACUGUAGUAUGGAUUACGAUUUGGGAUUUGCUCAAAAUAAACGUUGCA